GCACGUGACCACCAAGGGAGCUUUUGAAAACUACCGGUGCCUGGGCUGGCAUUCCCAGAGAUUAUUGCAACUGGCUGGGGUGGGUUCUGGCCGCUGGUGUUGUCUAAGAGCUUUGGCACAGAAACACUCUCCACUGCGGCCAAGGAUUGCAGGAGAGGUGGCAUCAGUGAUUCAAGACUUCUUUUCCUACCUCUUCAGUGUUUCUUUCAGUGAUCUGAAGUUAAAGCCAGGGGGAAUAUCACAGAAGUGAAGUGCAAUUCUCAUCAUGUCAUAUCAAGAGCACACACUAACAAACAACAUGACUUAUUGCUGAAUAUUGAACUUGAUCACCUGGCUGAGGUAGUGUUUGCCAGAUUUCUCUGUAAAGGUGAAUAAACUGACACUGGAACAUUCAGGAACUUCUUCAUGGUCAUGGUCACCCAGCUAGAGUGUGGAAGCCAGGCUGUCUGAUUCCAGGAUCUGUGUUCUUAAUCCUAUACAUAAGGAAGCCAUAAUGAGUCAACCACUAUUUUUAAGAUUCACAGAUGUUCGGGUCCAAUUCACCAGAAUGCCAAGUUAUACAGGGUUGUGGAAUCAAAAACUGCAAUUAGUAAUAAAAUGUGAUGCUAUCUAGAAUGUUUUUCAUACAUAUAUAUGCUUCUUGGGACUCUCCCUGCAGGUUAAGAGAAAUUGAGAAACGAUGGAGAAUUUAAGUGUUUUAGAUCCUACAUACAUUAGACUUAAAAAUAGUAACUAUGUACAUGAGUAUUUGUAAACUUAAGAAUGAACAUAACAUGAACCAUGUGGCACCUAUAAAAUGAAAAUAAAAUACCUACAAACCAAAUGAGAGCAAUAAAAGAAGCUUUAAGGACUUUCACUUCAGGGAGUCUGAAUUAGAUGCGCUUCUUCCCAUUCCUCCCUCUAAUUACAACAAGCUUGGACGUUACAUACAGAACAAACAGAAGGAGUCUCUGAAAGAUGAAGAGAAGGCAAGUAAGCUACAGACUUCACAAUGUAAGGAAUAAUAUGGUGGUGAGUUACAUUUGUGAUUUUUUUUUGUCUCAUAUCCCAUAAUAUCUCAUAUCUCAUAAUCAGUUAGAAAGCACAAUGGAAAAGUAUUCCACUGCCAAUGGUGUUAGAGAACUGCUCACAAAUUCAACAGAAAUGCACAGAUACCAAAGCAGAAAGGACAAUAAACAAGAGUCUUCAUGGUCAAAAGAUUAGAAGCUGCAGCUUUCAAUGGGAGGGACAGGUUCUGGACCACACUGCAGUGCUUUUCUGCUUUCUGUGCUUUCCCACUCUAGAGCUGAAGAAGGUAACGACCCCAAAAUGUCAAUAUACGUAGACCAAAAACCAGCCCCAAUAAAAGUCUGCUCUCUCUAGCCAAAGGACUACAGUAGGGCAGCCCAGCAAGACAGAAAACCUUCAGACAACCUACCCCAGCCAAACACUACCAAAAAAAGUAAA
RNAcentral lists this long non-coding RNA (1446 nucleotides) under Homo sapiens (human). RNAcentral's name for it is "novel transcript". Lineage: Eukaryota; Metazoa; Chordata; Mammalia; Primates; Hominidae. The record is from RNAcentral.